UUUCGCUUGAAUGUUCGUGCAUGGAAUAAUAGAAGAGGAUUUCGGUCCGAUUUUAUUGGUUUUGCUGACCGAGAUAAUGGUUAACAGAGACAAACGGGGCCAUUCGUAUUGCUACGUGAGAGGUGAAAUUCUUGGACCGUAGCAAGACGGACUACAGCGAAAGCAUUUGGCAAGAAUGUCUUCAUUAAUCAAGAACGAAAGUCAGAGGUUCGAAGGCGAUCAGAUACCGCCCUAGUUCUGACCGUAAACGAUGCCAACUAGCGAUCCGCCGGCGGAUUUAUUCGCCCUGGUGGGGAGCUUCCCGGAAACGAAAGUCUUCCGGUUCCGGGGGAAGUAUGGUUGCAAAGCUGAAACUUAAAGGAAUUGACGGAAGGGCACCACCAGGAGUGGAGCCUGCGGCUUAAUUUGACUCAACACGGGGAAACUCACCCGGCCCGGACACCGUAAGGAUUGACAGAUUGAUAGCUUUUUCAUGAUUCGGUGGAUGGUGGUGCAUGGCCGUUCUUAGUUCGUGGAGCGAUUUGUCUGGUUUAUUCCGAUAACGAGCGAGACUCUAGCCUACUAAAUAGUUGGCUCAUUGCUUCUGUGGGCACAACUUCUUAGAGGGAUUUUCGGUGUUCAGCCGCACGAAAUUGAGCAAUAACAGGUCUGUGAUGCCCUUAGAUGUCCGGGGCUGCACGCGCGCUACACUGGCAAAAUCAGCGUGCUUGUCCUUCCCCGAAAGGGGUUGGUAAACCGGUGAAAAUUUGCCGUGAUUGGGAUCGGACAUUGCAAUUAUUGUCCGUGAACGAGGAAUUCCUUGUAGGGGCGAGUCAUCAACUCGCUCUGAAUACGUCCCUGCCCUUUGUACACACCGCCCGUCGCUGCCCGGGACUGAGCCAUUUCGAGAAAUUCGGGGGACGGUUAGUGUUCCCGGCUUCGGUCGGUAUGCAGACUGGAACCGAUUUAAUCGCAGUGGCUUGAACCGGGCAAAAGUCGUANCAAGGUAGCUGUAGGUGAACCUGCUGCUG
This 1010-nucleotide ribosomal RNA is filed under the name Heterodera glycines (soybean cyst nematode). RNAcentral describes it as "SSU rRNA". It matches the Rfam family "Eukaryotic small subunit ribosomal RNA", at positions 789 to 1823 of the family's 1831-position model. The record is from RNAcentral. RNAcentral also lists the same sequence under 1 other name. Lineage: Eukaryota; Metazoa; Nematoda; Chromadorea; Rhabditida; Heteroderidae.